Pipra filicauda (Wire-tailed manakin) is the source of this 369-nucleotide long non-coding RNA. RefSeq lists it as uncharacterized. Lineage: Eukaryota; Metazoa; Chordata; Aves; Passeriformes; Pipridae. The record is from RefSeq and is a predicted model, not a curated record. The transcript is spliced from 3 exons.
GGUUGGAACUAGGUGAUUCUUUAAAGUUCCUUCCAAACCAAACCAUUCUAUGGUUCUAUGAUACUAUUGCAAGAGCAUAAUGAAUGCAGAUCACCUCUCUGUCUGGCUUCUGGUCCUGGAGGGAGCUGUUUUAUUUACAGGACACUCUUUCUGCUGCACAUUGAAGACCACCAGAGGAAGGAGGCCUGAGAAAGGACAGGCUUUUUCAGCCCCAGCCUUAUUGAAGAGCUAAGAAUUGCUCAAUUGCAAUUUUAAAAUUCCUUAAGGAUGAGAAAGAUGACGAUGAAGAAAAGAUGUUUUCGAAGUCCUGAGAAUUCAGCAAAACAAAGACUUGUACUACAUGCAAAACCAAUAAUAAAGUAUGUUCUG